This 29-nucleotide non-coding RNA is filed under the name Bombyx mori (domestic silkworm). The record is from RNAcentral. Lineage: Eukaryota; Metazoa; Arthropoda; Insecta; Lepidoptera; Bombycidae.
UAGGAUCGUAUAGAGCUAGCACCGGUCAC